This 837-nucleotide ribosomal RNA is filed under the name Xylaria longipes. Its description in RNAcentral is "partial large subunit ribosomal RNA". It matches the Rfam family "Eukaryotic large subunit ribosomal RNA", at positions 69 to 933 of the family's 3401-position model. The record is from RNAcentral. Lineage: Eukaryota; Fungi; Ascomycota; Sordariomycetes; Xylariales; Xylariaceae.
CAGGGAUUGCCCUAGUAACGGCGAGUGAAGCGGCAACAGCUCAAAUUUGAAAUCUGGCCCUCGGGUCCGAGUUGUAAUUUGUAGAGGAUGCUUUUGGCGCGGUGCCUUCCGAGUUCCCUGGAACGGGACGCCUUAGAGGGUGAGAGCCCCGUACGGUUGGACACCAAGCCUCUGUAAAGCUCCUUCGACGAGUCGAGUAGUUUGGGAAUGCUGCUCUAAAUGGGAGGUAAAUUUCUUCUAAAGCUAAAUAUUGGCCAGAGACCGAUAGCGCACAAGUAGAGUGAUCGAAAGAUGAAAAGCACUUUGAAAAGAGGGUUAAAUAGCACGUGAAAUUGUUGAAAGGGAAGCGUUUGCGACCAGACCUUUUCCUAGGGGAUCAUCCGGUGUUCUCACCGGUGCACUUCCCUAGGUUCAGGCCAGCAUCGGUUUCUGUAGGGGGAUAAAAGCUCUGGGAACGUAGCUCCCUCGGGAGUGUUAUAGCCCUCUGCAUAAUACCCUUACGGGGACCGAGGACCGCGCUUCGGCAAGGAUGCUGGCGUAAUGGUCGUCAACGACCCGUCUUGAAACACGGACCAAGGAGUCGAACAUUUGUGCGAGUGUUUGGGUGUUAAACCCUCACGCGUAAUGAAAGUGAACGGAGGUGAGAGCCCUUACGGGUGCAUCAUCGACCGAUCCUGAUGUCUUCGGAUGGAUUUGAGUAAGAGCAUAACUGUUCGGACCCGAAAGAUGGUGAACUAUGCGUGGAUAGGGUGAAGCCAGAGGAAACUCUGGUGGAGGCUCGCAGCGGUUCUGACGUGCAAAUCGAUCGUCAAAUCUGCGCAUGGGGGCGAAAGACUA